CCCAGACUCCUACGGGAGGCAGCAGUGGGGGAUAUUGCACAAUGGGGGGAAUCCUGAUGCAGCGACGCCGCGUGGGUGAAGGAGCGUUUCGGCGCGUAAAGCCCUAUCGGCAGGGAAGAAGGAGGACGGUACCUGACUAAGAAGCCCCGGCUAACUACGUGCCAGCAGCCGCGGUAAUACGUAGGGGGCAAGCGUUAUCCGGAUUUACUGGGUGUAAAGGGGGCGCAGACGGCAGCGCAAGCCAGGAGUGAAAGCCCGGGGCCCAACCCCGGGACUGCUCUUGGAACUGCGCGGCUGGAGUGCAGGAGGGGCAGGCGGAAUUCCUGGUGUAGCGGUGAAAUGCGUAGAUAUCAGGAGGAACACCGGUGGCGAAGGCGGCCUGCUGGACUGCGACUGACGUUGAGGCCCGAAAGCGUGGGGAGCAAACAGGAUUAGAUACCCCUGUAAG
This 448-nucleotide ribosomal RNA is filed under the name uncultured bacterium. Its description in RNAcentral is "bacterial SSU rRNA". It matches the Rfam family "Bacterial small subunit ribosomal RNA", at positions 330 to 793 of the family's 1533-position model. The record is from RNAcentral.